AGGUAAGCUACUAAGAGCGAAUGGUGGAUGCCUUGACUGGUAAAGGCGAUGAAGGACGUACUAGACUGCGAUAAGCUACGGGGAGCUGUCAAGAAGCUUUGAUCCGUAGAUUUCCGAAUGGGGCAACCCAAUGUAUAGAGAUAUACAUUACCUAUAUAGGAGCGAACGAGGGGAAUUGAAACAUCUUAGUACCCUCAGGAAAAGAAAUCAAUAGAGAUUGCGUCAGUAGCGGCGAGCGAAAGCGCAAGAGGGCAAACCCAGUGCUUGCACUGGGGGUUGUAGGACUGCAAUGUGCAAGAGGUGAGUUUAGCAGAACAUUCUGGAAAGUAUAGCCAUAGAGGGUGAUAGUCCCGUAUGCGAAAAACAAACCUUAGCUAGCAGUAUCCUGAGUAGGGCGGGACACGAGAAAUCCUGUCUGAAGCUGGGUCGACCACGAUCCAACCCUAAAUACUAAUACCAGAUCGAUAGUGCACAAGUACCGUGAGGGAAAGGUGAAAAGAACUGAGGUGAUCAGAGUGAAAUAGAACCUGAAACCAUUUGCUUACAAUCAUUCAGAGCACUAUGUAGCAAUACAGUGUGAUGGACUGCCUUUUGCAUAAUGAGCCUGCGAGUUGUGGUGUCUGGCAAGGUUAAGCAAACGCGAAGCCGUAGCGAAAGCGAGUCUGAAUAGGGCGCUUAGUCAGAUGCUGCAGACCCGAAACGAAGUGAUCUAUCCAUGAGCAAGUUGAAGCUAGUGUAAGAACUAGUGGAGGACUGAACCCAUAGGCGUUGAAAAGCCCCGGGAUGACUUGUGGAUAGGGGUGAAAGGCCAAUCAAACUUCGUGAUAGCUGGUUCUCUCCGAAAUAUAUUUAGGUAUAGCGUUGUGUCGUAAUAUAAGGGGGUAGAGCACUGAAUGGGCUAGGGCAUACACCAAUGUACCAAACCCUAUCAAACUCCGAAUACCUUAUAUGUAAUCACAGCAGUCAGGCGGCGAGUGAUAAAAUCCGUCGUCAAGAGGGAAACAACCCAGACUACCAGCUAAGGUCCCUAAAUCUUACUUAAGUGGAAAACGAUGUGAAGUUACUUAAACAACCAGGAGGUUGGCUUAGAAGCAGCCAUCCUUUAAAGAAAGCGUAAUAGCUCACUGGUCUAGUGAUUUUGCGCGGAAAAUAUAACGGGGCUAAAGUAAGUACCGAAGCUGUAGACUUGAUUUUAUCAAGUGGUAGGAGAGCGUUCUAUUUGCGCCGAAGGUAUACCGGUAAGGAGUGCUGGAGCGAAUAGAAGUGAGCAUGCAGGCAUGAGUAGCGAUAAUUAAUGUGAGAAUCAUUAACGCCGUAAACCCAAGGUUUCCUACGCGAUGCUCGUCAUCGUAGGGUUAGUCGGGUCCUAAGUCGAGUCCGAAAGGGGUAGACGAUGGCAAAUUGGUUAAUAUUCCAAUACCAACAUUAGUGUGCGAUGGAAGGACGCUUAGGGCUAAGGGGGCUAGCGGAUGGAAGUGCUAGUCUAAGGUCGUAGGAGGUUAUACAGGCAAAUCCGUAUAACAAUACUCCGAGAACUGAAAGGCUUUUUGAAGUCUUCGGAUGGAUAGAAGAACCCCUGAUGCCGUCGAGCCAAGAAAAGUUUCUAAGUUUAGCUAAUGUUGCCCGUACCGUAAACCGACACAGGUGGGUGGGAUGAGUAUUCUAAGGCGCGUGGAAGAACUCUCUUUAAGGAACUCUGCAAAAUAGCACCGUAUCUUCGGUAUAAGGUGUGGUUCGCUUCGUAUUAGGAUUUACUCCGAAAGCGAAGAAACUUACAACAAAGAGUCCCUCCCGACUGUUUACCAAAAACACAGCACUCUGCUAACUCGUAAGAGGAUGUAUAGGGUGUGACGCCUGCCCGGUGCUCGAAGGUUAAUUGAUGGGGUUAGCAUUAGCGAAGCUCUUGAUCGAAGCCCGAGUAAACGGCGGCCGUAACUAUAACGGUCCUAAGGUAGCGAAAUUCCUUGUCGGUUAAAUACCGACCUGCAUGAAUGGCGUAACGAGAUGGGAGCUGUCUCAAAGAGGGAUCCAGUGAAAUUGUAGUGGAGGUGAAAAUUCCUCCUACCCGCGGCAAGACGGAAAGACCCCGUGGACCUUUACUACAGCUUGACACUGCUAUUUGGAUAAGAAUGUGCAGGAUAGGUGGGAGGCUUUGAGUAUAUGACGCUAGUUGUAUAUGAGCCAUUGUUGAGAUACCACUCUUUCUUAUUUGGGUAGCUAACCAGCUUGAGUUAUCCUCAAGUGGGACAAUGUCUGGUGGGUAGUUUGACUGGGGCGGUCGCCUCCCAAAUAAUAACGGAGGCUUACAAAGGUUGGCUCAGAACGGUUGGAAAUCGUUCGUAGAGUAUAAAGGUAUAAGCCAGCUUAACUGCAAGACAUACAAGUCAAGCAGAGACGAAAGUCGGUCUUAGUGAUCCGGUGGUUCUGUGUGGAAGGGCCAUCGCUCAAAGGAUAAAAGGUACCCCGGGGAUAACAGGCUGAUCUCCCCCAAGAGCUCACAUCGACGGGGAGGUUUGGCACCUCGAUGUCGGCUCAUCGCAUCCUGGGGCUGGAGCAGGUCCCAAGGGUAUGGCUGUUCGCCAUUUAAAGCGGUACGCGAGCUGGGUUCAGAACGUCGUGAGACAGUUCGGUCCCUAUCUGCCGUGGGCGUAAGAAGAUUGAAGAGAUUUGACCCUAGUACGAGAGGACCGGGUUGAACAAACCACUGGUGUAGCUGUUGUUCUGCCAAGAGCAUCGCAGCGUAGCUAAGUUUGGAAAGGAUAAACGCUGAAAGCAUCUAAGCGUGAAGCCAACUCUAAGAUGAAUCUUCUCUAAGCUCUCUAGAAGACUACUAGUUUGAUAGGCUGGGUGUGUAAUGGAUGAAAGUCCUUUAGCUGACCAGUACUAAUAGAGCGUUUGGCUUAUCUUU
Molecule: ribosomal RNA, 2908 nt
Filed under: Campylobacter coli
Lineage: Bacteria; Pseudomonadati; Campylobacterota; Epsilonproteobacteria; Campylobacterales; Campylobacteraceae
Description: 23S ribosomal RNA
Rfam family: Bacterial large subunit ribosomal RNA
Source: RNAcentral